AUUGUCUCUUGGCUUUUGACUAAGAUCAAGUGUAGUAUCUGUUCUUAUCAGUUUUAGAUACAUUUUGUGGGCCCAUGACUUUUGUAGUUUUUGCUUGAGUUUAAUAGCUAACAUUA
RNAcentral lists this small nuclear RNA (116 nucleotides) under Erinaceus europaeus (western European hedgehog). Its description in RNAcentral is "U2 spliceosomal RNA". It matches the Rfam family "U2 spliceosomal RNA". Rfam says of the family: U2 is a small nuclear RNA (snRNA) component of the spliceosome (involved in pre-mRNA splicing). Complementary binding between U2 snRNA (in an area lying towards the 5' end but 3' to hairpin I) and the branchpoint sequence (BPS) of the intron results the bulging out of an unpaired adenosine, on the BPS, which initiates a nucleophilic attack at the intronic 5' splice site, thus starting the first of two transesterification reactions that mediate splicing. Lineage: Eukaryota; Metazoa; Chordata; Mammalia; Eulipotyphla; Erinaceidae. The record is from Rfam by way of RNAcentral.